RNAcentral lists this ribosomal RNA (253 nucleotides) under uncultured bacterium. Its description in RNAcentral is "partial 16S ribosomal RNA". It matches the Rfam family "Bacterial small subunit ribosomal RNA", at positions 524 to 776 of the family's 1533-position model. The record is from RNAcentral.
UACGAAGGGGGCUAGCGUUGUUCGGAAUUACUGGGCGUAAAGGGCGCGCAGGCGGCUCUGAUCGUCGGAUGUGAAAGGCCUGGGCUCAACCUGGGAAUGGCAUCCGAUACGGCGGGGCUGGAGUGUGGGAGAGGUUGGUGGAAUUCCCAGUGUAGAGGUGAAAUUCGUAGAUAUUGGGAAGAACACCGGUGGCGAAGGCGGCCAACUGGGCCACAACUGACGCUGAGGCGCGAAAGCGUGGGGAGCAAACAGG